This 425-nucleotide ribosomal RNA is filed under the name uncultured bacterium. RNAcentral describes it as "partial 16S ribosomal RNA". It matches the Rfam family "Bacterial small subunit ribosomal RNA", at positions 354 to 796 of the family's 1533-position model. The record is from RNAcentral.
GUGGGGAAUCUUGCGCAAUGGGCGAAAGUCUGACGCAGCCAUGCCGCGUGAAUGAUGAAGGUCUUAGGAUUGUAAAAUUCUUUCACCGGGGACGAUAAUGACGGUACCCGGAGAAGAAGCCCCGGCUAACUUCGUGCCAGCAGCCGCGGUAAUACGAAGGGGGCUAGCGUUGCUCGGAAUUACUGGGCGUAAAGGGCGCGUAGGCGGACAGUUUAGUCAGAGGUGAAAGCCCAGGGCUCAACCUUGGAAUUGCCUUUGAUACUGGCUGUCUUGAGUACGGGAGAGGUGAGUGGAACUCCGAGUGUAGAGGUGAAAUUCGUAGAUAUUCGGAAGAACACCAGUGGCGAAGGCGACUCACUGGCCCGUUACUGACGCUGAGGCGCGAAAGCGUGGGGAGCAAACAGGAUUAGAUACCCGAGUAGUCC